RNAcentral lists this ribosomal RNA (618 nucleotides) under Triticum aestivum (bread wheat). RNAcentral describes it as "partial small subunit ribosomal RNA". The record is from RNAcentral. Lineage: Eukaryota; Viridiplantae; Streptophyta; Magnoliopsida; Poales; Poaceae.
AUGAGUUCUCUAGUUUGGAACUGCCGGGGGGGUGGGGGGGGGGACUGCCGGACAGUUCGCGAGGUCUUGGCCCUCUGCAAAGCCAAUUCCCCGGGGCUGGUUUUUCUAUCUGAAACUAGACAAGCCUCAAGCAAGAUGGAGAAGAUCAAAAGGAGACUGCAUAUGAAAGGAUUUGCGGGUGUGUCCAGUGAUGGGUUAAGUGGGGGCCUGGCCCUCUAUUGGGACGAAAAUUUCCGAGUGACUGUCUUGGACUCUUGUGCACGGUAUAUAGACGUGCGAAUUGUAGACGGAGAAAAUGAUAAGACAUGGAGGACAACCUAUGUUUAUGGAAAACCACGGGUGGAGAACAGACACCGUAUGUGGAGCGCUCUGUCAAACCUACGGGCCAUCUCCUCGGAGCCGUGGCUAGUGUGUGGGGAUUUUAAUGAAGCAAUGUGGCAACAUGAACACCUCUCCCUUAUGCAACGGUCUGAGAAUCAAAUGCAACAGUUUAGGGAUUGUCUACUGGCAUGUGAGUUGAUGGACUUGGGGUUCUCUGGGAUCCCGUAUACAUAUGAUAAUGGUCAAGUGGGAAACAGAAACGUCCGUGUUCGGUUGGAUAGAGCAUGUGUUGAUGAA